RNAcentral lists this ribosomal RNA (801 nucleotides) under Bacillus sp. (in: firmicutes). RNAcentral describes it as "bacterial SSU rRNA". It matches the Rfam family "Bacterial small subunit ribosomal RNA", at positions 381 to 1175 of the family's 1533-position model. The record is from RNAcentral. Lineage: Bacteria; Bacillati; Bacillota; Bacilli; Caryophanales; Bacillaceae.
GUCUGACGGANCACGCCGCGUGAGUGAUGAAGGUUUUCGGAUCGUAAAGCUCUGUUGUUAGGGAAGAACAAGUGCCGUUCAAAUAGGGCGGCACCUUGACGGUACCUAACCAGAAAGCCACGGCUAACUACGUGCCAGCAGCCGCGGUAAUACGUAGGUGGCAAGCGUUGUCCGGAAUUAUUGGGCGUAAAGGGCUCGCAGGCGGUUUCUUAAGUCUGAUGUGAAAGCCCCCGGCUCAACCGGGGAGGGUCAUUGGAAACUGGGGAACUUGAGUGCAGAAGAGGAGAGUGGAAUUCCACGUGUAGCGGUGAAAUGCGUAGAGAUGUGGAGGAACACCAGUGGCGAAGGCGACUCUCUGGUCUGUAACUGACGCUGAGGAGCGAAAGCGUGGGGAGCGAACAGGAUUAGAUACCCUGGUAGUCCACGCCGUAAACGAUGAGUGCUAAGUGUUAGGGGGUUUCCGCCCCUUAGUGCUGCAGCUAACGCAUUAAGCACUCCGCCUGGGGAGUACGGUCGCAAGACUGAAACUCAAAGGAAUUGACGGGGGCCCGCACAAGCGGUGGAGCAUGUGGUUUAAUUCGAAGCAACGCGAAGAACCUUACCAGGUCUUGACAUCCUCUGACAAUCCUAGAGAUAGGACGUCCCCUUCGGGGGCAGAGUGACAGGUGGUGCAUGGUUGUCGUCAGCUCGUGUCGUGAGAUGUUGGGUUAAGUCCCGCAACGAGCGCAACCCUUGAUCUUAGUUGCCAGCAUUCAGUUGGGCACUCUAAGGUGACUGCCGGUGACAAACCGGAGGAAGGUG